UAAAGAAAAGUGUGCGGAUUAAAUUAAUGACAUCAUCACAACACUGUUACAUCACCACAGUGGUUUUACUGUGUAGCUUUAUGGUAACUAUGGUAACGGUGACAUUACGGUAUGGUUAGUAACAUAUCAAAUGUUGAAUGUGAGACAUUUUGAAAUGUGAUGCCAAAUAUUGGCUCAUUUUGGGUUUCAUUCCUAAAAAAAGUUAGGACAGGAAGCAACGUGAGGUCGGAAAAGUUAAAUGUACAGAUAAGGAACAGCUGGAGGAACAAUUUGCAAAUUAUUGGGUCAAUUGGCAACAUGGUUGGGAAUAAAAAUAGUGGCAGCGUCUCUCAGAAGUCUAGAUGGGCAGAGGAUCACCGAUUCCCUCAAAGCUGCGGCGAAAAAUAGUGGCGCAACAUCAGAAAGGAGUUUCUCAGAGUUUUGCUGGCUAAAUCUCUAUAGGUCAAAAAGGAAGCCGUAUCUAAACAUGAUCCAGACACGCAGGCGUUUUCUCUGGGCCGAGGCUCGUUUAUAAUGGACUUUUUUUUUUGGAAAACUGUACGCCGUGUCAUCCGGACUAAAGAGGACGAGGACAACCCAAGCUGUUCUCAGCGCUCAGUUCAGAAGCCUGCAGCUCUGAUGGUGUGGGGUUACAUGAGUGUGUGUGACACGAGCAGCUUACACAUCUGGAAAGUCACCAUCGAUGCUGAAAAGUAGAUCCAAGUUCUAGAACGACAUACGCUCCCAUCCAGACGUCGUCUCUUUCAGGGAAGACCUGACAUUUUCCAACAUGACGAUGCCAGACCACUUACUACAUCUAUUAUAACAUCAUGGCUGUAGAAGAAGGAUCUGGGGACUGAGAUGUCCAGCCUGCAGUCCAGAUCAUUCACCCAUAGGAAACAUUUGUCGCCUCAUAAAGAGGAAGAAGUGACGAAGGUAAUGUGACCUGAGACUGUUGAGCAACUAGAAGCCUGUAUUAGGUAAGAAUGGGACAAUAUUCCUAUUCCUAAACAUGAGCGACUUGUCUCCUCCGUCCCCAGACGUCUGCAGGCUGGAAUAAGAAGAAGACGGGAUGCCACACGGGGGGAAACAUGGCCUUGUCCCAACUUUUUUGAGAUGUGCUGAUGCCAUGAAAUUUAUAACUUAUUAAUAGAAUUUAACUUAUUAACUCAUUUUUCCCCUUAAAAUGACCCAUUUUCUCAGUGUAAUCAUUUGAGAUGUCAUCUGUGUUGUAUUCUGAAUAAAAUAUAAAACUUCCACAUCAUCGCUUUCUGUAUUUAUUCACAGUUGUCUACGGCGUCACAACUUUUUUGGAAUCGGGUUUGUAGAAUUCAUGGUAUCCAUGGUAACUACAGCUUUUACGGUGGGCUUUGGUAUCCAUGGUAACUACGGUGUGGUUUUUAUUACUUUACUGUAUUGUUAUGGUUUUUAAUGCAGUACUUUUUGGUAACCAUGGUAACCGUUACAGGAUCGUGGAUCUACGACCGUAUUUCACGGUAUCCCAUGGUAACUGUGAUACUUUAGUUAAACUCAGUCAAAGUUUAUUAUAAAAACUCUCAGUGUGUAAAUACGAGACUCACAUUAUAGCUCUGAUGUCACAGUUUCCAGUAAUUUCCUGGAUGGAGUAGCCUUUCAGCCGGCCGCAGCGAACGGGCCUUUGCGUGUAAGAAAAGCAGCAGCGAGCUACGAGACAAGACAAGAACAGAUCUUUGUUAUAAAAUGACAUUUUUCGGAUCGUCACAAAGUGAUACUCUCGAUGUGACCUUCUUGUAGGUCCUCCUGAAUCGUGCAGAAUCACCUGUCACUCAGAUCAGGAUCGUCGGUGAAAACGAUCGGCUUUAUCUUAAUCUUAAUGAUUAACAACACAAACAGUGUGAAACCUCUCACGUGUGUGUAUAAGAGAAGGACACAACUUUACUUCACUGCAAGUGUCUGAGGUGUUGCAGAACACUUCUUUCUUUAAACGUUACCUUCUGGGACUUUCCCGCAUGGAUGUCAUUGGCUGUUUGUGUUUUUCUCCUCUUUUUUUUGGAUCAGUUUGUCAUGAAUGGAGCCAUGCAGCCA
Long non-coding RNA from Tachysurus fulvidraco (yellow catfish), 2043 nucleotides. RefSeq lists it as uncharacterized. The record is from RefSeq and is a predicted model, not a curated record. The transcript is spliced from 3 exons. NCBI's taxonomy places the organism in Eukaryota, Metazoa, Chordata, Actinopteri, Siluriformes, Bagridae.